CUACGGGGUGCUGCAGUGGGGAAUAUUGGACAAUGGGGGAAACCCUGAUCCAGCAAUGCCGCGUGUGUGAAGAAGGCCUGCGGGUUGUAAAGCACUUUCGGUUGGGAGGACUGCUUCUAGCACUAAUAUUGUUGGAAGUUGACGUUACCUUCAGAAGAAGAACCGGCUAACUCCGUGCCAGCAGCCGCGGUAAUACGGAGGGUGCAAGCGUUAAUCGGAAUUACUGGGCGUAAAGCGCGCGUAGGCGGCUAGAUCAGUCGGGUGUGAAAGCCCCGGGCUUAACCUGGGAACUGCAUCCGAUACUGUCUAGCUUGAGUACAGGAGAGGAGAGUGGAAUUCCACAUGUAGCGGUGAAAUGCGUGGAUAUGUGGAGGAACACCAAUGGCGAAGGCAGCUCUCUGGCCUGAUACUGACGCUUAGGUGCGAAAGCGUGGGGAGCAAACAGGAUUAGAUACCCGAGUAGUC
This 465-nucleotide ribosomal RNA is filed under the name uncultured bacterium. RNAcentral describes it as "partial 16S ribosomal RNA". It matches the Rfam family "Bacterial small subunit ribosomal RNA", at positions 339 to 795 of the family's 1533-position model. The record is from RNAcentral.